CAGAAUACCCGGUUAAAUCUGAACUUCAGAUAAACCACAAAGAAUUUUUUUAAGUUUAAGCAUAUCCCACGCACUAUUUGGGACAUACUUAAACUAAAAAAACAAAUUCCUUGUUUAUCUGAAAUUCAGACUUAACUCGGGCAACCUGU
RNAcentral lists this microRNA precursor (149 nucleotides) under Vicugna pacos (alpaca). RNAcentral's name for it is "miRNA (ENSVPAG00000015894.1)". Lineage: Eukaryota; Metazoa; Chordata; Mammalia; Artiodactyla; Camelidae. The record is from RNAcentral.